Molecule: ribosomal RNA, 332 nt
Filed under: uncultured eukaryote
Lineage: Eukaryota
Description: partial 18S ribosomal RNA
Rfam family: Eukaryotic small subunit ribosomal RNA
Source: RNAcentral
CCCUUAGAUGUUCUGGGCCGCACGCGCGCUACACUGAUGCAUUCAACGAGUUUCUUCCUGGUCCGAGAGGAAUGGGUAACCUUUUGAAAGUGCAUCGUGAUAGGGAUAGACUAUUGCAAUUAUUGGUCUUCAACGAGGAAUUCCUAGUAGACGUAGUCCAUCAGACUGCAUCGAUUACGUCCCUGCCCUUUGUACACACCGCCCGUCGCUACUACCGAUUGAACGGUUUAGUGAGGGCCUCGGAUUGGUCUCGGCCCGCUCUUUACCGGGCGGCGCCGUUGGUCGAGAAGACGCUCGAACUUGAUCGUUUAGAGGAAGUAAAAGUCGUAACA